RNAcentral lists this transfer RNA (64 nucleotides) under Psychoda alternata. Its description in RNAcentral is "tRNA-Gly". Lineage: Eukaryota; Metazoa; Arthropoda; Insecta; Diptera; Psychodidae. The record is from RNAcentral.
AUUUAUAUAAUAUAAAAAGUAUAUAUGACUUCCAAUCAUAAAGUCUAAUAAUUUAGUAUAAAUA